CUUGACAUGUUCAGGACCGUCCGUGAAAGCGGACUUCCUUCGGGGCCUGAUCACAGAUGCUGCAUGGCUGUCGUCAGCUCGUGCCGUGAGGUGUUCGGUUAAGUCCGGCAACGAGCGCAACCCGUAUCGUCAGUUACCAUCGGGUCAUGCCGGGGACUCUGGCGAGACUGCCCGUGUCAAGCGGGAGGAAGGCGCGGAUGACGUCAAGUCAGUAUGGCUCUUACGCCCAGGGCUGCACACGUGCUACAAUGGCCGGUACAGUGGGAAGCGACACCGCGAGGUGGAGCCAAUCCCAAACGGCCCAGUUCAGAUUGCAGUCUGCAACUCGACUGCAUGAAGUCGGAAUCGCUAGUAAAGGCGUAUCAGCAACGACGCCUUGAAUACGUUCCCGGGCCUU
RNAcentral lists this ribosomal RNA (397 nucleotides) under uncultured Victivallaceae bacterium. RNAcentral describes it as "bacterial SSU rRNA". It matches the Rfam family "Bacterial small subunit ribosomal RNA", at positions 980 to 1382 of the family's 1533-position model. Lineage: Bacteria; Pseudomonadati; Lentisphaerota; Lentisphaeria; Victivallales; Victivallaceae. The record is from RNAcentral.